Non-coding RNA from Xanthomarina gelatinilytica, 121 nucleotides. NCBI's taxonomy places the organism in Bacteria, Pseudomonadati, Bacteroidota, Flavobacteriia, Flavobacteriales, Flavobacteriaceae. The record is from Rfam.
UGACACACAAUUAAACAAACAUGAAAACAAUUUUAAAUCAUACUUGGUGGUGGAACUUUCGAAACUCGAACUUCGUGAAGUAACCCUUUUGUAUAUUUAAACCAUAAUAUUAAGGCUUGUC